GCCCUUGUAGCGUAGUGGUUAGCGCAUCGCACUUGUAAUGCGAAGGCCGUCGGUUCAAAUCCGGCCUGGGGCU
Molecule: transfer RNA, 73 nt
Filed under: Rhodotorula toruloides
Lineage: Eukaryota; Fungi; Basidiomycota; Microbotryomycetes; Sporidiobolales; Sporidiobolaceae
Description: tRNA-Thr (TGT) cove score=63.76
Rfam family: tRNA
About the family: Transfer RNA (tRNA) molecules are approximately 80 nucleotides in length.
Source: RNAcentral